This is a regulatory RNA element of Atopobium minutum 10063974, 84 nucleotides long. It matches the Rfam family "aspS RNA". The record is from Rfam. Lineage: Bacteria; Bacillati; Actinomycetota; Coriobacteriia; Coriobacteriales; Atopobiaceae.
GCGCAACUCACGCUGUCUACGCCGGUUGCGUCGUCUGAAGGUAUAGGUCACCCGGACCGACACGGGGUGAUCCAGACGAAAGGA